GCCUACGGGCCGCAGCAGUGAGGAAUAUUGGUCAAUGGCCGGAAGGCUGAACCAGCCAAGCCGCGUGAAGGACGAAGGUGCCAAGCAUUGUAAACUUCUUUUGUCAAGGGACAAAAUCAGGCUCGAGAGCCUGACCGAGGGUACUUGAAGAAAAAGCAUCGGCUAACUCCGUGCCAGCAGCCGCGGUAAUACGGAGGAUGCGAGCGUUAUCCGGAUUUAUUGGGUUUAAAGGGUGCGUAGGCGGACUGUUAAGUCAGCGGUAAAAGCCCGGGGCUCAACCCCGUCGAGCCGUUGAACCUGGCUGU
RNAcentral lists this ribosomal RNA (305 nucleotides) under uncultured bacterium. RNAcentral describes it as "bacterial SSU rRNA". It matches the Rfam family "Bacterial small subunit ribosomal RNA", at positions 337 to 640 of the family's 1533-position model. The record is from RNAcentral.